Long non-coding RNA from Nicotiana attenuata, 656 nucleotides. RefSeq lists it as uncharacterized. The record is from RefSeq and is a predicted model, not a curated record. The transcript is spliced from 2 exons. NCBI's taxonomy places the organism in Eukaryota, Viridiplantae, Streptophyta, Magnoliopsida, Solanales, Solanaceae.
UAUUUGGCCAUCUUUUCUUGUUAAACAAGUCUAUUUUCCCAACACAGUUUUGAUAAACUAUAAAUAUAAGUCAUCAAUUAACGAGCAAAUUUCACCAGGAACCCAUUCUUUGCUUUGCUUUUUCUUCUAGUUUUCUUAUUGGCUUUUUAGUUAAAUUUUAGUUACUGAUGCAAUGGAAGUAGAAAAAGGACAUAGCAACUCCACCUCUAACUUCUUGUGGAUGGCCCAAAUGGAAGAGGUCGAAGGACGACGGUAGCUUUUUAAGCAAUUUGAAGGAGCAAUUCCACGAUUUUGUGAAUACCCCUAUGGCUGAUCACAAGCUUUGCUUCAAAAAUACUAUUGACAAGAUGGUUGGAAAUUUUCGAAAGGAGAUUAAUGGGUUUAAAGGUGAGGAAAAUUCUGUGACCCUCCAAUCGCUGCCUGCAGAGGAGAAGGAGAAUCAGUAGAACUUCGGACGUGGCACGUGCAGAUUUUAAUCAAAUUCUAUUUAGCAUUCUUGUUCUUAGUUUUUUUUAUUUUUUUAUUUUUUUUAGUCUCUCCCCUUUUAUUCCCUCUUCGUUGGAGCUACUCCACAUCUGGGAGGUGCUGACUCUAAGCAACCCCUCUUGUCUUCUUGUUCUUAGUUACAUGAAAAGUUUGCAAGUUUUAGUAGUCAA